Molecule: ribosomal RNA, 466 nt
Filed under: uncultured bacterium
Lineage: Bacteria
Description: bacterial SSU rRNA
Rfam family: Bacterial small subunit ribosomal RNA
Source: RNAcentral
GGGCCCGCACAAGCGGUGGAGCAUGUGGUUUAAUUCGACGCAACGCGCAGAACCUUACCAACCCUUGACAUGCCCGUCGCGAGGACCAGAGAUGGACCUCUUCAUUUAGUUGGACGGUGCACAGGUGCUGCAUGGCUGUCGUCAGCUCGUGUCGUGAGAUGUUGGGUUAAGUCCCGCAACGAGCGCAACCCUCGCCUUCAGUUGCCAUCAUUCAGUUGGGCACUCUGAAGGGACUGCCGGUGACAAGCCGGAGGAAGGUGGGGAUGACGUCAAGUCCUCAUGGCCCUUACGGGUUGGGCUACACACGUGCUACAAUGGCGGUGACAGUGGGAUGCGAAUGGGCGACCUGGAGCAAAUCCCAAAAAGCCGUCUCAGUUCGGAUUGCACUCUGCAACUCGAGUGCAUGAAGUCGGAAUCGCUAGUAAUCGCGCAACAGCAUGGCGCGGUGAAUACGUUCCCGGGCCUU